AAACUUAUAUUUAUAGAGCAAACUACCCAAUAACCGCUUAUUCACCAAUGUGACAUGGAUAUGUAUGGCAGCUACAUUUACAUGACAAGUAGGUUGACAGUUACAUCUUGUUUACAAUACAACAUUUGAUGAAAAACAAGCAACAUUAUCUUAAAAGUGUUGUCUUUGUUUUUUUUAGCCUUUUUAUUUAAGAAAAGCCUGUGUCGACAGCUUCAUCAGACUUCGAU
RNAcentral lists this long non-coding RNA (227 nucleotides) under Lathyrus oleraceus (garden pea). RNAcentral describes it as "Pisum sativum (pea) long non-coding RNA (PSAT_LNC027124)". Lineage: Eukaryota; Viridiplantae; Streptophyta; Magnoliopsida; Fabales; Fabaceae. The record is from RNAcentral.